UGGGGAAUAUUGCACAAUGGACGGAAGUCUGAUGCAGCAACGCCGCGUGCGGGAUGACGGCCUUCGGGUUGUAAACCGCUUUUUCCCAUAACGAAGUUUUUUGACGGAAGUGGGGGAAGAAGCACCGGCUAACUACGUGCCAGCAGCCGCGGUGAUACGUAGGGUGCGAGCGUUUUCGGGAAUUAUUGGGCGUAAAGAGCUUGUAGGCGGUUUGUGGGGUCGGUAGUGCAAACUCAGUGCUUAACGCUGAGCCUGCUGUUGAUACGGGCAGACUAGAGGAAGGUAGGGGGGAAUGGAAUUCCCGGUGGAGCGGUGGAAUGCGCAGAUAUCGGGAGGAACACCGGUGGCGAAGGCGGUUCUCUGGGCCUUUCCUGACGCUGAGAAGCGAAAGCGUGGGGAGCGAACAGG
Molecule: ribosomal RNA, 408 nt
Filed under: Fusobacteriota bacterium
Lineage: Bacteria; Fusobacteriati; Fusobacteriota
Description: Fusobacteria bacterium partial 16S ribosomal RNA
Rfam family: Bacterial small subunit ribosomal RNA
Source: RNAcentral